UACAGAGGGUGCAAGCGUUAAUCGGAGUUACUGGGCGUAAAGGGCGCGUAGGCGGAUAUUUUAGUCGGUUGUGAAAUCCCUGGGCUUAACCUAGGAAUUGCAUUCGAUACUGAAUAUCUUGAGUAUGAUAGAGGAAAGCGGAAUUCUCGGUGUAGUGGUAAAAUACGUAGAUAUCGAGAAGAACACCGGUGGCGAAGGCGGCUUUCUGGAUCAAUACUGACGCUGAGGCGCGAAAGCGUGGGGAGCAAACAGG
This 253-nucleotide ribosomal RNA is filed under the name uncultured bacterium. RNAcentral describes it as "partial 16S ribosomal RNA". It matches the Rfam family "Bacterial small subunit ribosomal RNA", at positions 524 to 776 of the family's 1533-position model. The record is from RNAcentral.